UCCUGCUUCAAGUAAUGCCACUCAUUUGGGAG
Molecule: non-coding RNA, 32 nt
Filed under: Mus musculus (house mouse)
Lineage: Eukaryota; Metazoa; Chordata; Mammalia; Rodentia; Muridae
Source: RNAcentral